This 516-nucleotide ribosomal RNA is filed under the name uncultured bacterium. RNAcentral's name for it is "bacterial SSU rRNA". It matches the Rfam family "Bacterial small subunit ribosomal RNA", at positions 28 to 536 of the family's 1533-position model. The record is from RNAcentral.
GAUGAACGCUAGCGGGAGGCUUAACACAUGCAAGUCGAGGGGCAGCAUAGGGUAGCAAUACUCUGAUGGCGACCGGCAAACGGGUGAGUAACGCGUAUGCAACCUACCCUGUACAGGGGGAUAACCCGGAGAAAUUCGGACUAAUAUCCCGUAAUAAUAUCCGGAGGCAUCUUUGGAUAUUUAAAGUUCCGACGGUACGGGAUGGGCAUGCGUAACAUUAACUGGUUGGUAAGGUAACGGCUUACCAAGGCUAUGAUGUUUAGGGGUCCUGAGAGGGUGGUCCCCCACACUGGUACUGAGACACGGACCAGACUCCUACGGGAGGCAGCAGUGAGGAAUAUUGGUCAAUGGGCGCAAGCCUGAACCAGCCAUCCCGCGUGCAGGAAGACGGCCCUAUGGGUUGUAAAACUGCUUUUCCAGGGAGAGAAACUUACGCACGUGUUGCGUGACUGACGGUACCCUGGGAAUAAGCAUCGGCUAACUCCGUGCCAGCAGCCGCGGUAAAAAGUGUGUGUA